Molecule: ribosomal RNA, 2043 nt
Filed under: Petrotoga sibirica DSM 13575
Lineage: Bacteria; Thermotogati; Thermotogota; Thermotogae; Petrotogales; Petrotogaceae
Description: bacterial LSU rRNA
Rfam family: Bacterial large subunit ribosomal RNA
Source: RNAcentral
CUCUGUCUCUGGAAAAGGGUUAUGGAGGUAGAGCACUGAAUGUAGUAGAGUGUUAGACCUCUUAAUCCGUUCAUAUACCGUAUGUCAUAUAUGGAUGCCAGGGAGAAAGACUAUGGGGAAUAAGCUUCAUGGUCGAGAGGGAAAGAGCCCAGACCGACAGCUAAGGUUCCGAAGAAGCGGCUAAGUGUGAAAGGAAGUGGACCUCUUGAGACAGCCGGGAGGUUGGCUUAGAAGCAGCCAUCCUUAAAAGAGUGCGUAACAGCUCACCGGUAGAAGAGGACUGCGCCGAAAAUGUAACGGAGCUAAAGCCGCGCACCGAAGCUACGGUAUAGCCGAAAGGCUAUAGGUAGGGGAGCGAUGUGCAAGGGAGAAGCAUAACUGAAAGGUUAUGUGGACGAAGCACAAGAGAGAAUGCAGGCAUGAGUAACGAAAUGGGAGUGAGAAUCUCCCACCCCUAAAGUCUAAGGGUACCUGGGGAAGGGUCGUCCGCCCAGGGUAAGUCGGGACCUAAGGUGAACCCGAAAGGGGUAGCCGAUGGAAAACGGGUAAAGAAUCCCGUACCGGUAAAAGAGGAGCUGCAAGGGGGGACACAGGAGGUAAAGCUACCGAGAUAGGGUUGCGAAUCUUCCAAGCGACGAUGCCGAAGAAGCUGGUAGGGAAAUCCGCCGGUGGAGGAGGAGUCGUGAUGGGGAGGCCGCAAGGCCAACGGUAGAUAAUCACACUGUCGAGAAAAGCCUCGUGUAGUGUUGAACCUUUUACCGCCCGUUCUGGAAACCGACACAGGUAGACGAGCUGAGAAGGCAAAGGGGAGCGGAAUAACCUUCGUUAAGGAACUAGGCAAAAAGGCCCCGUAACUUCGGGAGAAGGGGUGGACUAUUAGGAUGAGUAAUCAUGCUAAUAGAGCCGCAGUGACAAGUCCCUAGCGACUGUUUACCAAAAACACAGGUCUCUGCGAACACGGAAGUGGAAGUAUAGGGACUGACGCCUGCCCAGUGCCGGAAGGUUAAGGGGAGGGGUGAGAGCUCCGAACUGAAGCCCCGGUAAACGGCGGCCGUAACUAUAACGGUCCUAAGGUAGCGAAAUUCCUUGUCGGGUAAGUUCCGACCUGCAUGAAUGGCGUAACGAUUAGGGAGCUGUCUUAACGGAGGAUCCGGUGAAAUUACAAGCUCGGUGAAGACGCCGAGGACCCGCAGCUAGACGGAAAGACCCCGUGGAGUUUUACUGUAACCUGACAUUGUAACUUAUCGUUGUAUGUACAGGAUAGGCGGGAGGCGAAGAAAGCUGCUCGCCAGGGCAGCUGGAGCCGGCAGUGGGAUACCGCCCUUACAACGAUGGGUUACUAACGGGAGAAAGUGAAGAGCUUGACCUGGACAGUGUUAGGAGGGCAGUUUAACUGGGGCGGUUGCCUCCUAAAAGGUAACGGAGGUGUUCGAAGGUAGGCUCAAGUGGGUUGGGAAUCCACUGAAGAGUGCAAAGGCAAAAGCCUGCCUAACUGAGAGACUGACGAGUCGAACAGGAGGGAAACCUGGACUUAGUGACCCGGCGGUUCUGAGAGGAAGGGCCGUCGAUCAACGGAUAAAAGUUACCCCGGGGAUAACAGACUAAUCACGCCCGAGAGUUCACAUCGACGGCGUGGAUUGGCACCUCGAUGUCGGCUCAUCGCAACCUGGGGCUGAAGCCGGUCCCAAGGGUUGGGCUGUUCGCCCAUUAAAGCGGUACGUGAGCUGGGUUCAGAACGUCGUAAGACAGUUCGGUCCCUAUCUGCUGCGGGGGUAGGAAGCUUGAAGGGGGUUGCUCCUAGUACGAGAGGACCGGAGUGAGUAUGUCCCUGGUGAAUCAGCUGUUAUGCAAAUAGCAGGAGCUGAGUAGCUACACAUAUAACCGAUAACCGCUGAAAGCAUCUAAGCGGGAAACGGGCCCAAACAAUAGGCUUCCCACUCAUAGGAGGUAAGGGCAGUCUGAGAAGAAGACGUAGAUAGGCCGCAGGUGUAAGUACUGAGAAGUAUUGAGCCGAGCGGUACUAAUAGCCCGAGGCUUUGGACG